Long non-coding RNA from Betta splendens (Siamese fighting fish), 2177 nucleotides. RefSeq lists it as uncharacterized. Lineage: Eukaryota; Metazoa; Chordata; Actinopteri; Anabantiformes; Osphronemidae. The transcript is spliced from 3 exons. The record is from RefSeq and is a predicted model, not a curated record.
UGCUAGACAAUCUGAUGGAAGCAGAGCGGAGCUGAUGAAUAGCUUUUGUUUGUCGAAUUAAUAGAAUAACGCGACGUUGGCAGCGUGGCGGCGGUAAGACGAGGGGUGAGCGUGUUUGUUAUUUAUCAGUGGCCUUGACCGGAAUAAAUGAAGUGGAAAAAGAUCCAAAACUUAGACCUUGACAUUAUUUACGUCUAUUCGCAUUAACUACAACAUAUUCAUUUCCCCUUCCUCUACACUGCUCACCGGUUCUUUCUAAUCAUCAUUUACUAUUAGUGUAGGACACAGUUAAUCAGUGGUGGCCAAACCUGAGCACUCACCAUAAAUCAGGACCUGUUUUUUUUUUUCUUUCUUCUCAUAUGGCGCCAAAGAUUUGACUUUAUUCUGACAAAUUGCUUUUUAAUUCCAUUUUUUUUUGCUGCAGUUAACCAGACGUAUACCUUUUCCCUUCUCUUAUGAUUGCUGCAGCCAUCUGCUCCAUCGGAAGGAAUGGGCGCGGUAGAAAACGCGAGCCCGACUCCAAAGUGCACGUCAACUUUAACAGCGUACAGGAGUUCAGCAGAAAUAUUAAGACAUGGACGGCGGUGUUUGCUGUGUUGCUCCUCAGCUCAUUUGUCUCCAACAGGCUCCAUCAGAUCAACUGACAGCUGCUGCCUUUCCAGUGCUUUUUCAGUCACUACGGGCGAUUUGGAGCCACACCUGCGGCGUCGGCGUCGCCGUGGGGCCCGGCGGCGAGUGUCCACGGGUGGGGACGUCCUACCUUUUACCUGAGACGUGAAACGCGGCGUGUAAAGGUCCGGUCCGGGCGGGGGCGGGGCUUCGGGCUCCGGGGGGCGUGGCCGUGAAGCCCCUACCUGCUGCGUUAACCCCUUCAUCUCUACGACGGAUGGCCUCCAUCAGGUGAUAACGGGAGAGUCUUCGUUCCCAGCGCAGAGGCUGCAGGACGGGAGAGACAUUAACAACAAGGCGUGAAAGCGCAGAAGUCGGCACACUGGAUUCACUGUACUCCACUAUCUCCUCUUACUUGAGGCUUUGACGGGAUGUGGGCCACUGCGGAUUCCUUUGAAAUGCACCGUGGCCUAGUUCAAAGAUGUUACAGACCUUAGCUAAAUUCCGAGCGCCACACACACCAAAAAAAAAAACUUCAGCGGAGUCUGUUCAGCCACCCAUUCAUUCACUGGCUGCCUCUGUUAGCCUCUUAUGGGCAUAUGUGGAGCAUUCCCACCCAGCGGCUAAUCUCUAGCUCCCUGUGCUAGAUUUCCUGCUUGAAUGCACUGUAAUGACAUUUAUAUCAUUUUGCGAGUAGCCUACUAAUUUUUCCUCAUAAUUCCACCCACUCGCAAAUAUGCACAACAUUAUGCCGCAUGCGACAGAAACAUUGUGAUGAUUGCAGAAUAAAUUGUAAAUUGGCCGUCGUAGCUGUUCUGUACAGUGCUUGGCUGCCGCUCGGCCCGGUUAUCAUUAAUUUUCAUGUGGCGUAUGCUUUAAAUAUGAAUUCUCCCACAAAGCAUUUAAUCAACAGCGCAUGUGCCUGGAGUGCUUCUAGAGGCUGUAGAGGUGUUAAAUGAAUCACGGGUUGCAGCCGGUCCUCUGGUCCAGAGGCUCGCAAGGUCGCGUCUGUCUGAAAGGGCAGAGGGCUAAUAAACUACUCUCCCAAAUUACUUUCUCCAACUGUAAGAGUAAUGCGCACACAUUAUCAAAGGAUGUCAUUUUUUACAGCCCCCGGACCCGGGCGUUUCUCCCUCCUUUAAUUAAGAUUCGCUCAGAUUCCGGUCGGACUCGGAGUUAACGCGGACGGUUAACAGCUGUCUUUUGUUUCCUGCCAACCUGCAGAGAGGAUUUGACAAAGGGUCUCAUUUACUACCAGACGCAGCCACAUAGAAGCGCGUUUUAUAGAUAAUCACUAGAUUAUUAUGUGUUAUUGAAUUUGCUCUCGCUGCUGGGAAGAAAUCGAGAGUACAAAUAUUAUAACGUCCCCCCUGUGUGAUGUGACUAAACUUUGACUAAAUGUCAUUACCACAGUAUAUUAGGGAUCAGUAAAACUGCUUCCCCUUGAUGCACAUAAGCUUGUUUUAGCACCAGUGUCAGACUUUAAUCAGUCCUAGAAAUAAAUAGUCUUUUCUUAUAUAUGCUGAUCCUUUUCCAAGUCCUGAAUACUUUCCAGAUGUUCUUUCAUA